RNAcentral lists this ribosomal RNA (303 nucleotides) under uncultured bacterium. RNAcentral describes it as "partial 16S ribosomal RNA". It matches the Rfam family "Bacterial small subunit ribosomal RNA", at positions 507 to 807 of the family's 1533-position model. The record is from RNAcentral.
AGCAGUAGCCGCGGGAAUACGGAGGGUGCAAGCGUUAUCCGGAUUUAUUUGGUUUAAAGGGUCCGUAGGCGGAUCUGUAAGUCAGUGGUGAAAUCUCACAGCUUAACUGUGAAACUGCCAUUGAUACUGCAGGUCUUGAGUAAAUUUGAAGUGGCUGGAAUAAGUAGUGUAGCGGUGAAAUGCAUAGAUAUUACUUAGAACACCAAUUGCGAAGGCAGGUCACUAAGAUUUAACUGACGCUGAUGGACGAAAGCGUGGGGAGCGAACAGGAUUAGAUACCCCUGUAGUCCCUGUCUCUUAUAC